RNAcentral lists this ribosomal RNA (443 nucleotides) under uncultured bacterium. Its description in RNAcentral is "partial 16S ribosomal RNA". It matches the Rfam family "Bacterial small subunit ribosomal RNA", at positions 338 to 795 of the family's 1533-position model. The record is from RNAcentral.
CCUACGGGUGGCAGCAGUGGGGAAUAUUGGGCAAUGGAGGAAACUCUGACCCAGCAACGCCGCGUGAAUGAUGAAGGUCUUCGGAUUGUAAAGUUCUUUUCUAAGGGAAGAAGAAAGUGACGGUACCUUAGGAAUAAGCCUCGGCUAACUACGUGCCAGCAGCCGCGGUAAUACGUAGGAGGCAAGCGUUAUCCGGAUUGACUGGGCGUAAAGGGUGCGUAGGUGGUUUGACAAGUGUGUAGCGAAACUCCGGGGCUCAACCUCGGAGCUGCAAGCGAAACUGUGGGACUUGAGUGCAGGAGAGGCAAGUGGAAUUCCUAGUGUAGCGGUGGAAUGCGUAGAUAUUAGGAGGAACACCAGUGGCGAAGGCGGUUUGCUGGACUGUAACUGACGCUGAGGCACGAAAGCGUGGGGAGCAAACAGGAUUAGAUACCCCUGUAGUC